Molecule: long non-coding RNA, 251 nt
Filed under: Sorghum bicolor (sorghum)
Lineage: Eukaryota; Viridiplantae; Streptophyta; Magnoliopsida; Poales; Poaceae
Description: long non-coding RNA (SBIC_LNC018376)
Source: RNAcentral
GUGUCACAAAAUUCGAGGAUAGAAAAUGUUAAAAAAAAUUUGAGAGUUACUGACGAGACACAGUGACGGUCUGGUGAUGUGUCCUGUCAAACAGCUACUCCUGCGUAUACUACGAAGUGGGAGACAUAAAAAGAUUAUUUUAUACAUUCUUAAAUUAUUAAAUCCACGUGCUCCUCUCAUACUUAGGCUCUUUUAGACUGUAGAUGAAAAAUUUUUAGGUGUCACAUCGAAUAUAUCGAAAGGAUGUCGGG